CACCGCGGUUAUACGAGAGGCCCAAGUUGUUAGUCCUCGGCGUAAAGAGUGGUUAGGAACAACCCAAAUACUAAAGCCAAACAUCUUCAAAGCUGUUAUACGCUCUCGAAGACAAGAAGUUCAACCACGAAAGUGGCUUUAAGUUCUCCGAACCCACGAAAGCUAUGGUA
Molecule: ribosomal RNA, 170 nt
Filed under: Masturus lanceolatus (sharptail mola)
Lineage: Eukaryota; Metazoa; Chordata; Actinopteri; Tetraodontiformes; Molidae
Description: partial 12S ribosomal RNA
Source: RNAcentral